This 497-nucleotide ribosomal RNA is filed under the name uncultured bacterium. RNAcentral's name for it is "partial 16S ribosomal RNA". It matches the Rfam family "Bacterial small subunit ribosomal RNA", at positions 28 to 507 of the family's 1533-position model. The record is from RNAcentral.
GAUGAACGCUGGCGGCGUGCCUAAUACAUGCAAGUCGAGCGAACAGAUGAGGAGCUUGCUCCUCUGACGUUAGCGGCGGACGGGUGAGUAACACGUGGAUAACCUACCUAUAAGACUGGGAUAACUUCGGGAAACCGGAGCUAAUACCGGAUAAUAUAUUGAACCGCAUGGUUCAAUAGUGAAAGACGGUUUUGCUGUCACUUAUAGAUGGAUCCGCGCCGCAUUAGCUAGUUGGUAAGGUAACGGCUUACCAAGGCAACGAUGCGUAGCCGACCUGAGAGGGUGAUCGGCCACACUGGAACUGAGACACGGUCCAGACUCCUACGGGAGGCAGCAGUAGGGAAUCUUCCGCAAUGGGCGAAAGCCUGACGGAGCACCGCCGCGUGAGUGAUGAAGGUCUUCGUAUCGUAAAACUCUGUUAUUAGGGAAGAACAAAUGUGUAAGUAACUAUGCACGUCUUGACGGUACCUAAUCAGAAAGCCACGGCUAACUACGUG